RNAcentral lists this ribosomal RNA (487 nucleotides) under uncultured bacterium. RNAcentral's name for it is "bacterial SSU rRNA". It matches the Rfam family "Bacterial small subunit ribosomal RNA", at positions 39 to 518 of the family's 1533-position model. The record is from RNAcentral.
AGCGACAGGCCUAACACAUGCAAGUCGAGGGGCAGCACAAGGAGCAAUCUGAGGUGGCGACCGGCGCACGGGUGAGUAACACGUAUGCAACCUGCCUGUAAGCGGGGAAUAACCCGUUGAAAGACGGACUAAUACCGCAUAAUACUAAAUUACUGCAUGGUAAUUUAUUUAAACAUUUAUGGCUUACAGAUGGGCAUGCGCAUGAUUAGCUAGUUGGAGAGGUAACGGCUCCCCAAGGCAACGAUCAUUAGGGGUUCUGAGAGGAAGGUCCCCCCACACUGGUACUGAGACACGGACCAGACUCCUACGGGAGGCAGCAGUGAGGAAUAUUGGUCAAUGGACGAGAGUCUGAACCAGCCAAGUCGCGUGCAGGAAGAAUUGUCCUAUGGAUUGUAAACUGCUUUUGCAGGGGAAUAAAGUGCAUCACGUGUGAUGUUUUGUAUGUACUCUGCGAAUAAGGAUCGGCUAACUCCGUGCCAGCCGCCGC